AGUGAACGCUGGCGGUAGGCCUAACACAUGCAAGUCGAACGGCAGCACAGGAGAGCUUGCUCUCUGGGUGGCGAGUGGCGGACGGGUGAGGAAUACAUCGGAAUCUACUCUUUCGUGGGGGAUAACGUAGGGAAACUUACGCUAAUACCGCAUACGACCUACGGGUGAAAGCAGGGGAUCUUCGGACCUUGCGCGAUUGAAUGAGCCGAUGUCGGAUUAGCUAGUUGGCGGGGUAAAGGCCGACCAAGUCGACGAUCCGUAGCCGGUCUGAGAGGAUGAGCAGCCACACUGGAACUGAGACACGGUCCAGACUCAUACGGGAGGCAGCAGUGGGGAAUAUUGGACAAUGGGAGCAAGCCUGAUCCAGCCAUACCGCGUGGGUGAAGAAGGCCGUCGGGUUGUAAAGCCCUUUUGUUGGGAAAGAAAUCCAGCUGGUUAAUACCCGGUUGGGAUGACGGCACCCAAAGAAUAAGCACCGGCUAACUUCGUGCCAGCCGCCGCCGUAA
RNAcentral lists this ribosomal RNA (506 nucleotides) under uncultured bacterium. RNAcentral describes it as "partial 16S ribosomal RNA". It matches the Rfam family "Bacterial small subunit ribosomal RNA", at positions 29 to 523 of the family's 1533-position model. The record is from RNAcentral.